Schizosaccharomyces pombe (fission yeast) is the source of this 807-nucleotide non-coding RNA. The record is from the annotation of a GenBank genome assembly. Lineage: Eukaryota; Fungi; Ascomycota; Schizosaccharomycetes; Schizosaccharomycetales; Schizosaccharomycetaceae.
AUAAAAGACAGAGUCAUCAGUUGCUUUUUUAAUAAUCUCCACCACGUUAGGAUCAUGGUAAUCAACCGUGAAAUCGGCACCUAGCUUCUUAAUCCAGUCAAAGUUAUGAGGCGAACAAGUAGCAAUUACCUUAUAACCAGCGUGAUGCGCAAGUUGAACCACGUAUUGCCCUACGCUAGAUGACCCGCUCCAUACUAAAACCCAUUUUUGUUGAGCGGAAUUCUUGGAUCCAUCCGUGGGAGGCAAGGGAAGACCAAGGUACUGAUUAAGUCCUUGCGAAGCAGUAGUAAACGUUAGAGGAAGCGUAGCGGCUUGUGAAGGUGUAAUAUUCUUGGGAACAAAGUACACCAAAUUUACAUCAAGAGUGAUGUAUUCACGCCAAGCAGCAUUAGAACCGUCUAAAGGACCAGGAGCCCACCCACUAACAGUGGCACCGAUAUAUUUCGAUCUGUCGACGCCUUCUCCAACAUCUUCCACAACAGCCACGAAGUCGGUUCCGCCAACGGUGCCUUUUUCAAUCGACGCAUUGUAGAGUGUUUUCCAAUCGAUAGGAUUGAACGCGACACGAAUAACUCGACCUAAAAACUCGCCCUUUUCAGGAGUUGGUUUAGGGGCAUCUGAUAUAACCUCUACGCCGUUUUGACCAUCUGCUAUCACUGCCUUCAUGUUUUAUACGAUUUUAAUUUAAAUUCGUUAAAUUUUUAGACUUAGUAGAAAUAAAAAAAGAGAGUUACCAACUUUCCCGAUCAGUACUUCGAAUUUUGACAAAAAGGUAGACCAAGAAAAUUAAAAGAUUAUAGAAGAGUU